CCUACGGGAGGCAGCAGUGGGGAAUUUUGGACAAUGGGCGCAAGCCUGAUCCAGCAAUGCCGCGUGAGUGAAGAAGGCCUUCGGGUUGUAAAGCUCUUUUGUCAGGGAAGAAACGGUGGGGGCUAAUAUCUCCCACUAAUGACGGUACCUGAAGAAUAAGCACCGGCUAACUACGUGCCAGCAGCCGCGGUAAUACGUAGGGUGCAAGCGUUAAUCGGAAUUACUGGGCGUAAAGCGUGCGCAGGCGGUUUUGUAAGUUUGUCGUGAAAUCCCCGGGCUCAACCUGGGAAUGGCGAUGAAGACUGCAAGGCUAGAAUCUGGCAGAGGGGGGUAGAAUUCCACGUGUAGCAGUGAAAUGCGUAGAGAUGUGGAGGAACACCGAUGGCGAAGGCAGCCCCCUGGGUCAAGAUUGACGCUCAUGCACGAAAGCGUGGGGAGCAAACAGGAUUAGAUACCCUGGUAGUCCACGCCCUAAACGAUGUCUACUAGUUGUCGGGUUUUAAUUAACUUGGUAACGCAGCUAACGCGUGAAGUAGACCGCCUGGGGAGGUAGUCGCGAGAGUAAACUACGAAGAGUAGUAGAGNGNGAGAGCGCGACGACGACGACGAGGAGGAGG
Molecule: ribosomal RNA, 617 nt
Filed under: uncultured bacterium
Lineage: Bacteria
Description: bacterial SSU rRNA
Rfam family: Bacterial small subunit ribosomal RNA (bases 1-542)
Source: RNAcentral